GAUGAACGCUAGCUACAGGCUUAACACAUGCAAGUCGAGGGGUAGCAGGGUAGCAAUACCGCUGACGACCGGCGCACGGGUGAGUAACACGUAUCCAACCUUCCCAUAACUCGGGGAUAGCCUUUCGAAAGAAAGAUUAAUACCGGAUGGUACUUUUUCAAGGCAUCUUGAGAAAGUUAAAGAUUUAUUGGUUAUGGAUGGGGAUGCAUUCCAUUAGAUAGUUGGUGAGGUAACGGCUCACCAAGUCUUCGAUGGAUAGGGGUUCUGAGAGGAAGGUCCCCCACAUUGGUACUGAGACACGGGCCAAACUCCUACGGGAGGCAGCAGUGAGGAAUAUUGGUCAAUGGGCGAGAGCCUGAACCAGCCAAGUAGCGUGAAGGAUGAAGGUCCUAUGGAUUGUAAACUUCUUUUAUAGUAGAAUAAAGUGAUCCAAGUGUGGAUUUUUGUAUGUAUACUAUGAAUAAGGAUCGGCUAACUCCGUGCCAGCAGCCGCAGUAA
RNAcentral lists this ribosomal RNA (498 nucleotides) under uncultured bacterium. Its description in RNAcentral is "partial 16S ribosomal RNA". It matches the Rfam family "Bacterial small subunit ribosomal RNA", at positions 28 to 523 of the family's 1533-position model. The record is from RNAcentral.